CCAACUUCAAUUUCAUGUGCUUUUUUGUAACUUUACAAAGUUGAACUGAAGUUUGUGACUUUGUUCUGCAGCUUGAUGUGAUAUUGCAACUCAGAUACAAGUGAAGGAAGAUGGAUCUAAGAGGAGCUUACUUUAUAUAGAGAUAGCUGAUAGACCUGGAUUACUGGUAGAAAUCAUCAAAAUUAUUGCUCAUCUCAUCAUUGAUGUGGAAUCAACAGAGAGUGUUGCAGAACAAAGACGUGCAUAGAAAAACAUCAAUUCAUGAAGUGGAUGUGAGAAUCAUUGGGGGAUUUCUACAAUAUUCUCGGAUAUGUCAGCCUCACUUGUACACAAAACAAUGGAAACUAUACAGAGCACUGUCAUGAUGAGGAAGAUCGGGUUUCUUCCACUUGCUUGAAAGCAUUUUAAUUCCAAAAGACAGUGAGAAUGCUUGCUUGUCUUCAAGUGAAAUCUGUUGCUGUGCUCCAAGGGUAUUGACUGGAAUUGAAGAUCAUGUUAGCCAACCACUCUGUUUAUGUGUCUCUUGUUAGUGCAAUGCUUCAAUUUUGUUAGUGCAGUGCUUUUGUUAGUGCUGCCUUUGCAUAUAUGCUUUGCAAUUUAUAUUCAUGGUUCUGUUAUAUCUAAAUGGGCUUUUAUAAAAUCUAGUGUUGAAAAUUGUGUAUGUAGUGCUUGAAAAUUCAGCCUGUUGGGCCAGGUUGCUUAGUUUCUUUCUGUGGUGGACUAUGGAUAGCAGAGUAAUAUUGCAGUAUUUGCAAAUUUUAAAAUGAUAAAAGGUAAUAUACUAAUAUUGUAGAGUGCUAUAUAUGGCUGCCAUUCUUCUUGUCUUUUCUUUCUAAUCUCUAUAAUCUAAAGUUAGUGAUUAUUUCUACCGUGGUUUUAUUUGGAAAAGUGAAUUCCUACCUUCUCCUUUAAUCAAUUUUCUCCCUAAAUCUUGGUUCUUUGGCAGAAGAAAGAUGUAACUGAUGCAAUUCAGAAGGUUGCUGCUGCUUAUGACUGCAAAAAUGUUGAAUGUGUUUUCUCCAUCAGCUGAAGCAGUUUGACAAGAACUACCACUCGAAGAUGAAAGCAUCUAGGUUUAUUUUCAGUGAAAUAAAUCAGAAAUUUCCUCCCAUGCCAUUCAUAGCUAGUUUUGCUAAUGCCAGAUGGUUCGAAUGGAGUCGCAUCUCAUCCUCUGCAGGAGCUGCAGCCCACAAAGACAACAGAUGAUCCCGAAAUCAAGGCCUUGUUAGCCUUGGGAAAAAGAAAAAGAAGAAAAGUAAAAAUGGUGACAAAGGUGAGGAGUCAACAGAAGCCUAGCCUAUGGAUGCAACAACAAAUGGUGCUGCUUCCCAUCCCAAGAUUGGGAUUAUUUGUGUGUUCCAGGCUGGGUCGUGCGUCAUAGUGGCCUGUCUGAUGGAAGAGGAUUGUUAAGGAUAUAAAUCUUUUAUUUAAAAUUAUUCAAAUCAUAUUUAAAGGUCAAUAAGUAAAGACUUGUACUCAAUUCAAAUA
Corylus avellana is the source of this 1488-nucleotide long non-coding RNA. RefSeq lists it as uncharacterized. The record is from RefSeq and is a predicted model, not a curated record. NCBI's taxonomy places the organism in Eukaryota, Viridiplantae, Streptophyta, Magnoliopsida, Fagales, Betulaceae.